RNAcentral lists this long non-coding RNA (1273 nucleotides) under Homo sapiens (human). Its description in RNAcentral is "HSALNT0357077". Lineage: Eukaryota; Metazoa; Chordata; Mammalia; Primates; Hominidae. The record is from RNAcentral.
GUCUGAGAUGGCUUUGAAGAUAAGCACAUUCAGGGCGUGCUGACUUGCAAGCAGUGUGUGUGUGUGUGAUCAUGAUGCCACAGAGGUGGGGAGGGAUGUGUGGAAACCUAGGGAGAAAACAGCACCUAGAAAAGUUCCCUGGGUGGGGGUAGGAUGAAUUUCGAGCAUCACUCGAGCAGUUUUGUUUCUGCGACCUGUAUCUGUCUCUUUUCUCCUUCCCUUCUGGGUCCCCCUUCAUCAAAAUAAAUGCCCAAAUGUGAGCACUGGCAGGGUGGAAUAGGUUAUAACUGGUCAAAUGUCAGAGCUGAAGUCACUGCAGAGAUAGCAAUGAUAGCCAGGGUGGCACAGACCUUACCUCGGGGGUAUCUUUUUUUGUUUUGUUUGUUUUUUGAGACGGAAUUUUUUUCUCUCGUUGCCCAGGCUGGAGUGCAAUGGUGCGAUCUCAGCUCACUGCAACCUCUGCCUCCUGGGUUCAAGCGGUUCUCCUGUCUCAGCCUCCUGAGUAGCUGGAAUUAUAGGCACAUGACACCACGCCCAGCUAAUUUUUUUAUUUUUAUAUUUUUUAAUUUUUUUUAGUAGAGACGGAGUUUCAUCAUAUUGGUCAGGCUGGUCUCAAACUCUUGACCUCAGGUGAUCCACCCACCUUGGCUUCCCAAAGCGCUGGGAUUACAGGCAUGAGCCACCACGCCAGGCCUUGGGGGUCUCUUUAGGGAGAGGCCCCAUCCCCUCCUUUGUCCAGUCGGGAAUAUAAUACUUUUGAAGAUUACUGGGAAAGGGUUUUUGUUUUGAAAGCAGAAGAUGCACAUUCAGCCGGCAAAAAGCCUCCACUCCUGAACUGAUAAGAAGAAGGUAUGAAAAUCUUGAGAAAAACAGCUGUCAGGAGACUUCACAGUUAGACUUUUUGCCCUACCUUUGUCCUCCUGCAAGAGGUGAGAACACACAGCAUUCAAGGUGCCAUCUUGGAAGUGGAGAGCAGCCCUCACCAGACACCAAACCUAUUGGCCGUUGACCUUGGACUUCCCAGCCUCCAGAACUGUGAUAAAUACAUUUUUAUUAUUUACAAAUUACCUAGUUCAGGCAUUUUGUUAAAGAAGCACAAAUGGACUAAAAUAUAAGGAGCAAAAAAUUGACUUUGAAAAAGUCUACUGUAUCUUGUUUAGAGAAUAAAGUAAGUUCACUCAGUAUGUAGAGUAUUUAGCAUCUAUAAUAUACACAUAUAUACACAUAUGUAUAUAAAAAUUAUAGAAUAAUAUACACAAAACUUACUGUUCUU